UGGGCGUAAAGAGCUCGUAGGCGGUUUGUCGCGUCUGCUGUGAAAGCCCGGGGCUUAACCCCGGGUGUGCAGUGGGUACGGGCAGACUUGAGUGCAGUAGGGGAGACUGGAACUCCUGGUGUAGCGGUGAAAUGCGCAGAUAUCAGGAAGAACACCGAUGGCGAAGGCAGGUCUCUGGGCUGUUACUGACGCUGAGGAGCGAAAGCAUGGGGAGCGAACAGGAUUAGAUACCCUGGUAGUCCAUGCCGUAAACGUUGGGCACUAGGUGUGGGGGACAUUCCACGUUUUCCGCGCCGUAGCUAACGCAUUAAGUGCCCCGCCUGGGGAGUACGGCCGCAAGGCUAAAACUCAAAGGAAUUGACGGGGGCCCGCACAAGCGGCGGAGCAUGCGGAUUAAUUCGAUGCAACGCGAAGAACCUUACCAAGGCUUGACAUACACCGGAUCGGCUCAGAGAUGGGUUUUCCUCCUUGUGGGGCUGGUGUACAGGUGGUGCAUGGUUGUCGUCAGCUCGUGUCGUGAGAUGUUGGGUUAAGUCCCGCAACGAGCGCAACCCUCGUUCUAUGUUGCCAGCACGUGAUGGUGGGGACUCAUAGGAGACUGCCGGGGUCAACUCGGAGGAAGGUGGGGAUGACGUCAAAUCAUCAUGCCCCUUAUGUCUUGGGCUUCACGCAUGCUACAAUGGCCAGUACAAUGGGUUGCGAUACCGUGAGGUGGAGCUAAUCCCAAAAAGCUGGUCUCAGUUCGGAUCGUGGUCUGCAACUCGACCACGUGAAGUCGGAGUCGCUAGUAAUCGCAGAUCAGCAACGCUGCGGUGAAUACGUUCCCGGGCCUUGUACACACCGCCCGUCAAGUCACGAAAGUUGGUAACACCCGAAGCCGGUGGCCUAACCCUUGUGGGGGGAGCCGUCG
This 910-nucleotide ribosomal RNA is filed under the name Kocuria marina subsp. indica. RNAcentral's name for it is "bacterial SSU rRNA". It matches the Rfam family "Bacterial small subunit ribosomal RNA", at positions 555 to 1458 of the family's 1533-position model. The record is from RNAcentral. Lineage: Bacteria; Bacillati; Actinomycetota; Actinomycetes; Micrococcales; Micrococcaceae.